RNAcentral lists this ribosomal RNA (406 nucleotides) under uncultured bacterium. Its description in RNAcentral is "partial 16S ribosomal RNA". It matches the Rfam family "Bacterial small subunit ribosomal RNA", at positions 30 to 526 of the family's 1533-position model. The record is from RNAcentral.
AUUGAACGCUGGCGGCAGGCCUAACACAUGCAAGUCGAACGAGUGGCGGACGGGUGAGUAAUGUCUGGGACACUGCCCGAUGGAGGGGGAUAACUACUGGAAACGGUAGCUAAUACCGCAUACCAUCGGAUGUGCCCAGAUGGGAUUAGCUGGUAGGUGGGGUAACGGCUCACCUAGGCGACGAUCCCUAGCUGGCCUGAGAGGAUGACCAGCAACACUGGAACUGAGACACGGCCCAACCUCCUACGGGAGGCAGCAGUGGGGAAUAUUGCACAAGGGGCGCAAGCCUGAUGCAGCAAUGCGGCGUGUAUGAAGAAGGCCUUCGGGUGGUAAAGUACUUUCAGCGAGGAGGCGUUACUCGAAGAAGAAGCACCGGCUAACUCCGUGCCAGCCGCCGCGGUAAUAC